AUGCCAAGAAAAUUAAGACCAGAGCGCAGAAGCAGCAGCGCUUUAAAGCGCGUCGUCCUGCUGCUAGGAGCCUUGCUCGGAGGCAGUGACAUGACCUACAGUCCAAAAAUAGUUGGCUCCUGCUCCCUGGCAGCCCACAGCCCUGGGAUAAAACAGCCAACAGGUGAGGGCAUUGGGGUUGGUUUCAUUGAGAUCUCUAAUAAAUGGCAUCUGUUUCUUUUAAAGGUUAUUUUGCCCGUGUGUCUCGAUGUUUCCAGCUGGAGCUAUCUGGCAUUUACCCUGCUCUUGAGGACAAGAUACCUGGCGGAGUUGCCAUCCUGCUCUUGGAGGAACCAGGCGGUUUGGGUGCUCGGGGCCGGGCUCGCAGGAGCUCUCGGGGGUGGCACCAUGCCAGCGCUAGCCCAGGUUGGGUUGAGCGCUCAUUUGGCCGAGGGGCCGUUUGCCACCUUGCAAACGUGGUGCUGUGUCCGCCCUCUGCUCUUGCAGAGAGGAGGGGGACAGGGAUACCCAGCUGGGCAGAGAGGCGUCCAAGGAGAAACGUUGCCUACCGCCGCCAGCAACGAAGCUGAUCUCUCCACGUCGUCCCAGCUCGGCUCUGCUCAGCGCGACACUUUGGACAAGUUACAGCAUUGCCCUAUGCCUUGGUCACCCUGUCUAUAAACAGGGUUAAAGCCUCUGGUUUCUGCAUUACACAAGGAAUAACGGCUCUUGUGAGAGGUGUCUGGACCUCUCCGGUGAAGCAAUGAGGCUGGGGAUGAAGGUCCCAGGUUGGGAUCCCAGCUGCGACGCUGCUUCACCUGUAGCCUUGGGUGAGUCCCUUCGCCCCUCGGCUCUCCCGCGGGGGCCGGCAGGCAGCGCGCGUUUUGUGCGGCGGGUUGGGAUCCUUGGCUGGAAAAUGCUACGUCAGAGCUGGAAAUUCCUCUGCCCUGAGCCAGGACGGUCUCUCCUCUCCCAGGCUCUGUCCCCUUCCCUUUGCAUCAGCAGCGCGAAGCGCCAGGCCUGGAAUAAACCAUGACGGAAAGUAGCUUUGCA
Molecule: long non-coding RNA, 1032 nt
Filed under: Struthio camelus australis
Lineage: Eukaryota; Metazoa; Chordata; Aves; Struthioniformes; Struthionidae
Description: lncRNA (ENSSCUG00000004469.1)
Source: RNAcentral